RNAcentral lists this long non-coding RNA (134 nucleotides) under Polistes fuscatus (common paper wasp). RNAcentral describes it as "uncharacterized LOC122517783". The record is from RNAcentral. Lineage: Eukaryota; Metazoa; Arthropoda; Insecta; Hymenoptera; Vespidae.
AUCCCAGGGUCGACGAUAGAAAGGUGACGGACCGCAGAGGCGGUAAUUAACGGUAAAGAAAGGGAGAGGCGAUACGAAACGCUGAAUCCAAUCGCCGGAGGACUCCACGUAGGAGGAAUUUUUGGUAAAUACAU